AGCUUAGUGGCGAACGGGUGAGUAACGCGUGAGUAACCUGCCCUAUAGUGGGGGACAACAGUUGGAAACGACUGCUAAUACCGCAUAAGCCCACGGUACCGCAUGGCACUGAGGGAAAAGGAUUUAUUCGCUUUAGGAUGGACUCGCGUCCAAUUAGCUAGUUGGUGAGGUAACGGCCCACCAAGGCAACGAUUGGUAGCCGGACUGAGAGGUUGAACGGCCACAUUGGGACUGAGACACGGCCCAGACUCCUACGGGAGGCAGCAGUGGGGGAUAUUGCACAAUGGGGGAAACCCUGAUGCAGCGACGCCGCGUGGAGGAAGAAGGUUUUCGGAUUGUAAACUCCUGUCGUUAGGGACGAUAAUGACGGUACCUAACAAGAAAGCACCGGCUAACUACGUGCCAGCAGCCGCGGUAAAACGUAGGGUGCAAGCGUUGUCCGGAAUUACUGGGUGUAAAGGGAGCGCAGGCGGGAAGACAAGUUGGAAGUGAAAACCAUGGGCUCAACCCAUGAAUUGCUUUCAAAACUGUUUUUCUUGAGUAGUGCAGAGGUAGAUGGAAUUCCCGGUGUAGCGGUGGAAUGCGUAGAUAUCGGGAGGAACACCAGUGGCGAAGGCGGUCUACUGGGCACCAACU
This 636-nucleotide ribosomal RNA is filed under the name uncultured Lachnospiraceae bacterium. RNAcentral describes it as "bacterial SSU rRNA". It matches the Rfam family "Bacterial small subunit ribosomal RNA", at positions 89 to 741 of the family's 1533-position model. Lineage: Bacteria; Bacillati; Bacillota; Clostridia; Lachnospirales; Lachnospiraceae. The record is from RNAcentral.